Molecule: ribosomal RNA, 253 nt
Filed under: uncultured bacterium
Lineage: Bacteria
Description: partial 16S ribosomal RNA
Rfam family: Bacterial small subunit ribosomal RNA
Source: RNAcentral
UACGAAGGGGGCUAGCGUUGCUCGGAAUCACUGGGCGUAAAGCGCACGUAGGCGGCUUUCUAAGUCAGGGGUGAAAUCCUGGAGCUCAACUCCAGAACUGCCUUUGAUACUGGAGAGCUCGUGUCCGGAAGAGGUGAGUGGAACUGCGAGUGUAGAGGUGAAAUUCGUAGAUAUUCGCAAGAACACCAGUGGCGAAGGCGGCUCACUGGUCCGGUACUGACGCUGAGGUGCGAAAGCGUGGGGAGCAAACAGG